RNAcentral lists this ribosomal RNA (2165 nucleotides) under Staphylococcus aureus. RNAcentral's name for it is "partial 23S ribosomal RNA". It matches the Rfam family "Bacterial large subunit ribosomal RNA", at positions 559 to 2727 of the family's 2925-position model. The record is from RNAcentral. Lineage: Bacteria; Bacillati; Bacillota; Bacilli; Caryophanales; Staphylococcaceae.
UGUGCUUACAAGUAGUCAGAGCCCGUUAAUGGGUGAUGGCGUGCCUUUUGUAGAAUGAACCGGCGAGUUACGAUUUGAUGCAAGGUUAAGCAGUAAAUGUGGAGCCGUAGCGAAAGCGAGUCUGAAUAGGGCGUUUAGUAUUUGGUCGUAGACCCGAAACCAGGUGAUCUACCCUUGGUCAGGUUGAAGUUCAGGUAACACUGAAUGGAGGACCGAACCGACUUACGUUGAAAAGUGAGCGGAUGAACUGAGGGUAGCGGAGAAAUUCCAAUCGAACCUGGAGAUAGCUGGUUCUCUCCGAAAUAGCUUUAGGGCUAGCCUCAAGUGAUGAUUAUUGGAGGUAGAGCACUGUUUGGACGAGGGGCCCCUCUCGGGUUACCGAAUUCAGACAAACUCCGAAUGCCAAUUAAUUUAACUUGGGAGUCAGAACAUGGGUGAUAAGGUCCGUGUUCGAAAGGGAAACAGCCCAGACCACCAGCUAAGGUCCCAAAAUAUAUGUUAAGUGGAAAAGGAUGUGGCGUUGCCCAGACAACUAGGAUGUUGGCUUAGAAGCAGCCAUCAUUUAAAGAGUGCGUAAUAGCUCACUAGUCGAGUGACACUGCGCCGAAAAUGUACCGGGGCUAAACAUAUUACCGAAGCUGUGGAUUGUCCUUUGGACAAUGGUAGGAGAGCGUUCUAAGGGCGUUGAAGCAUGAUCGUAAGGACAUGUGGAGCGCUUAGAAGUGAGAAUGCCGGUGUGAGUAGCGAAAGACGGGUGAGAAUCCCGUCCACCGAUUGACUAAGGUUUCCAGAGGAAGGCUCGUCCGCUCUGGGUUAGUCGGGUCCUAAGCUGAGGCCGACAGGCGUAGGCGAUGGAUAACAGGUUGAUAUUCCUGUACCACCUAUAAUCGUUUUAAUCGAUGGGGGGACGCAGUAGGAUAGGCGAAGCGUGCGAUUGGAUUGCACGUCUAAGCAGUAAGGCUGAGUAUUAGGCAAAUCCGGUACUCGUUAAGGCUGAGCUGUGAUGGGGAGAAGACAUUGUGUCUUCGAGUCGUUGAUUUCACACUGCCGAGAAAAGCCUCUAGAUAGAAAAUAGGUGCCCGUACCGCAAACCGACACAGGUAGUCAAGAUGAGAAUUCUAAGGUGAGCGAGCGAACUCUCGUUAAGGAACUCGGCAAAAUGACCCCGUAACUUCGGGAGAAGGGGUGCUCUUUAGGGUUAACGCCCAGAAGAGCCGCAGUGAAUAGGCCCAAGCGACUGUUUAUCAAAAACACAGGUCUCUGCUAAACCGUAAGGUGAUGUAUAGGGGCUGACGCCUGCCCGGUGCUGGAAGGUUAAGAGGAGUGGUUAGCUUCUGCGAAGCUACGAAUCGAAGCCCCAGUAAACGGCGGCCGUAACUAUAACGGUCCUAAGGUAGCGAAAUUCCUUGUCGGGUAAGUUCCGACCCGCACGAAAGGCGUAACGAUUUGGGCACUGUCUCAACGAGAGACUCGGUGAAAUCAUAGUACCUGUGAAGAUGCAGGUUACCCGCGACAGGACGGAAAGACCCCGUGGAGCUUUACUGUAGCCUGAUAUUGAAAUUCGGCACAGCUUGUACAGGAUAGGUAGGAGCCUUUGAAACGUGAGCGCUAGCUUACGUGGAGGCGCUGGUGGGAUACUACCCUAGCUGUGUUGGCUUUCUAACCCGCACCACUUAUCGUGGUGGGAGACAGUGUCAGGCGGGCAGUUUGACUGGGGCGGUCGCCUCCUAAAAGGUAACGGAGGCGCUCAAAGGUUCCCUCAGAAUGGUUGGAAAUCAUUCAUAGAGUGUAAAGGCAUAAGGGAGCUUGACUGCGAGACCUACAAGUCGAGCAGGGUCGAAAGACGGACUUAGUGAUCCGGUGGUUCCGCAUGGAAGGGCCAUCGCUCAACGGAUAAAAGCUACCCCGGGGAUAACAGGCUUAUCUCCCCCAAGAGUUCACAUCGACGGGGAGGUUUGGCACCUCGAUGUCGGCUCAUCGCAUCCUGGGGCUGUAGUCGGUCCCAAGGGUUGGGCUGUUCGCCCAUUAAAGCGGUACGCGAGCUGGGUUCAGAACGUCGUGAGACAGUUCGGUCCCUAUCCGUCGUGGGCGUAGGAAAUUUGAGAGGAGCUGUCCUUAGUACGAGAGGACCGGGAUGGACAUACCUCUGGUGUACCAGUUGUCGU